RNAcentral lists this ribosomal RNA (414 nucleotides) under uncultured bacterium. RNAcentral describes it as "bacterial SSU rRNA". It matches the Rfam family "Bacterial small subunit ribosomal RNA", at positions 8 to 422 of the family's 1533-position model. The record is from RNAcentral.
AGAGUUUGAUCCUGGCUCAGAUUGAACGCUGGCGGAAUGCUUUACACAUGCAAGUCGAACGGCAGCACGGGGGCAACCCUGGUGGCGAGUGGCGAACGGGUGAGUAAUACAUCGGAACGUGCCCAGUCGUGGGGGAUAACGCAGCGAAAGCUGUGCUAAUACCGCAUACGAUCUACGGAUGAAAGCGGGGGACUCGCAAGGGCCUCGCGCGAUUGGAGCGGCCGAUGGCAGAUUAGGUAGUUGGUGGGGUAAAGGCUCACCAAGCCUGCGAUCUGUAGCUGGUCUGAGAGGACGACCAGCCACACUGGGACUGAGACACGGCCCAGACUCCUACGGGAGGCAGCAGUGGGGAAUUUUGGACAAUGGGCGCAAGCCUGAUCCAGCCAUUCCGCGUGCAGGAUGAAGGCCUUCGGU